CCCUAAGAUGUCCUGGGCCGCACGCGCGCUACACUGACGCACGCAACAAGUUCAUCCUAACCCGAAAGGGGAUGGGUAAUCUUCUUAAAAUGCGUCGUGCUAGGGAUUGAUCUUUGCAACUCUGGAUCAUGAACGAGGAAUUCCUAGUAAUGUUGUGUCAUCAACGCGACAUGAUUAAGUCACUGCUCUUUGUACACACCGCCCGUCGCUCCUACCGAUUGAGUGGUCCGGUGAACUUUUUGGACUUGGCGCCUAGCGUCCGGGGAAGUUAAGCAAAUCUUAUCACUUAGAGGAAGGAGAAGUCGUANCA
Molecule: ribosomal RNA, 310 nt
Filed under: uncultured eukaryote
Lineage: Eukaryota
Description: partial 18S ribosomal RNA
Rfam family: Eukaryotic small subunit ribosomal RNA
Source: RNAcentral